RNAcentral lists this ribosomal RNA (509 nucleotides) under uncultured bacterium. RNAcentral's name for it is "bacterial SSU rRNA". It matches the Rfam family "Bacterial small subunit ribosomal RNA", at positions 17 to 518 of the family's 1533-position model. The record is from RNAcentral.
UUAUGGCUCAGGAUGAACGCUAGCGACAGGCUUAACACAUGCAAGUCGAGGGGCAGCAUAAAAGUAGCAAGUACUUGGUGGCGACCGGCGCACGGGUGAGUAACGCGUAUGCAACCUACCUAUCAGAGGGGAAUAACCCGGCGAAAGUCGGACUAAUACCGCAUAAAACAGGGGCACCGCAUGGUGAUAUUUGUUAAAGAAAUUCGCUGAUAGAUGGGCAUGCGUUCCAUUAGGUAGUUGGUGAGGUAACGGCUCACCAAGCCGACGAUGGAUAGGGGAACUGAGAGGUUGGUCCCCCACACUGGUACUGAGACACGGACCAGACUCCUACGGGAGGCAGCAGUGAGGAAUAUUGGUCAAUGGGCGAGAGCCUGAACCAGCCAAGUCGCGUGAAGGAAGAAGGAUCUAUGGUUCGUAAACUUCUUUUGCAGGGGAAUAAAGUGCAGGACGUGUCCUGUUUUGUAUGUACCCUGAGAAUAAGGAUCGGCUAACUCCGUGCCAGCCGCUGC